CAGUAGCCGCGGGAAUACGAAGGGGGCUAGCGUUGCUCGGAAUGACUGGGCGUAAAGGGCGCGUAGGCGGAUGGCACAGUCAGAUGUGAAAUUCCUGGGCUUAACCUGGGGGCUGCAUUUGAUACGUGUUGUCUAGAGUGUGAAAGAGGGUCGUGGAAUUCCCAGUGUAGAGGUGAAAUUCGUAGAUAUUGGGAAGAACACCGGUGGCGAAGGCGGCGACCUGGUUCAUGACUGACGCUGAGGCGCGAAAGCGUGGGGAGCAAACAGGAUUAGAUACCCGCGUAGUCCCUGUCUCUUAUAU
Molecule: ribosomal RNA, 301 nt
Filed under: uncultured bacterium
Lineage: Bacteria
Description: partial 16S ribosomal RNA
Rfam family: Bacterial small subunit ribosomal RNA
Source: RNAcentral